CGGUACCGGGGUUACGGGGAGGUAAACGUAAACCGUACGGGUAGCUAAUCUACCCUGGAGUGGGGAAUAACGCUGGGAAACCGGCGCUAAUACCGCAUAAUCCCGAGAGGGCAAAGGAGCAAUUCGCUUCAGGAGGAGUCCGCGGCCGAUUAGCUAGUUGGCAGGGUAAAAGCCUACCAAGGCAACGAUCGGUAGCCGGCCUGAGAGGGCACACGGCCACACUGGCACUGAAACACGGGCCAG
Molecule: ribosomal RNA, 243 nt
Filed under: uncultured bacterium
Lineage: Bacteria
Description: partial 16S ribosomal RNA
Rfam family: Bacterial small subunit ribosomal RNA
Source: RNAcentral